AAUAGAACAUGGAGAAAGUGUUGUGAUGUCACUUCCAAGGUUAGGAUAUAAAGACCGUGCAAUCUUGGAUUGCUCUCUUGCUCUCUAUUUGCUCUACAGGGAGCCAACUGCCAUACUGUGAGCACCUCUAUGUAGAGGCCCAUGUGACAAGGAAUUGACUUCCCCAGCCAGCAGCUAAUGGGGACAUGAGGACUGCAAACAGCCCCAUGAGUGAGCUUGCAGCUGGAUCCUUUCCCAACGAACCUUGAGGUGACUGAAGCUUCAGCUACACUGUGAUCAAAGCCUUGUGAGAUCCAGAGCCAGAGGAGUCCAGCUAAGUGGCACCUGAUUCCAAAUCUGAGAAACUCUGAGAAAUAAAUGCCUGUCUUUCUAAGAUGAGGUGUUUUAUUAUGCAGCAAAAGAUGACUAAUACAGAUUUUAUCCCUGAAUACAAGCUUUUUAAGAGGAUGAAAAAAAAUGUUUUUAAUAUAGUUUUUAAACAUUAAGAGUAGUUUUCAUCCUGUUUAUAAUUAUCGAGUAAUUAUAAACAGCCCACUACAGUUUCAUUAAGUCUUUAUUCUACAGAGAUUUUUUUUUGUCUGAUUCUGUGCAAGGGCAUGCAUGAGGUAUGGAGAUUAAAAAGAGAGGGGGGUGGGAUAAGCAACAAGAUCCUACCAUAUAACACAGAGAACUAUAUUCAAUGUCCUAUGAUAAACCGUAAUGAAAGAGUAUUUUUUUAAAGUGUGUAUAUAUACAUUGUAAAUCAACUAUACUUCAAUAAAAACAGACAGAAAGAGAAAGAGAGAAGUCAAAUCCCCUGAUUUCUAAGCACAGACAUCCCCUGAGGAAGUGACACAGAAUAGUAGAGGGUGACAUGGACCGUGAUGAAAUCAAGUCCAAGGAAGAAUAGGAACCCAGGGGCAGUAGGAGUUCCUGAGGCCCACUGGGUUGUCACUAAGAGGAUGGACUUGACUCGGGACUCAGUGAUGCAAAAACACAUCAAAUUGGCUUAUGCUCAAUAACUAAAAGGUCCAACAAAUGUCACACUGGCUUCCUGCACAGCUAGAUUUAGGGGAGCUCAAAUGAUGUUACAGCGACCCAGUGGCCCCCUCUCAGUCCCUCAGCUCUCUUUCCUCUAUUUUGACUCCAUUUCAAGCAGAUUAUUUAUCAAGGGCUUGAGCUGAUCCACCAGGUGUCAAAGUAACUGAUCAAGACAGCAUGGCAAGUUGAAAGUAACAAUUAAGCCUUUAUUUACUUAUGGCUAUGGUAGAGGGAAGGGGCUAAAGCCCUGGCCCCCCAUCAUUCCAUUUUCUCCAUGGAAAAGCAUGGGUGGAGGGUGGGAAACAGAUGUAUCAGCACAGGUGGGAAGAAUUGUCUUAUUGCUAAGGGAGCUAGCAAUAGGCUCCUGUCUUUCUAUGGAUCUGCGGUGAGGGGAGUGGGGAGACCCAGGAGGAGAAAUAUCCUGAGUACUGAGUCAGAGUGGAGAAAGUAUCUGCAAGUUCCCACCACUUCCCAUAAUUAGAUCUCAGCCAAGUCCUCCACAUACCCCAGGUAAAAAGCCUCCAACGCAGAUACCUGGGCCAGGAAUGCAGACAUGCCUAAGAACAAUUUGGCCAUGGGGCCCAGUCCUUGCCUGCAAUUUCCUUCAGAGUCUACCAUGCAUUGCCGGGUGUGGGGAGGGCAGCUUUCCCCAGUGAGGUCUGCCAGGUAAAGUGUCAUGGACUAAAUGUUUGUGUCCCCCCAACCAAAUUCCUAUACUGAAGCCCUGACUCCCAACGUGAUAAUAUUUGGGAAUUAAUGAAAGUUAGACCAGGACAUGAGGGUGGGGCCCCACAAUGGGAUUAGUGUCCUUAUAAGAAGAGGACGAGGCUCCAGGGCUCUGCCUCUCUCUGCACAUAUAUGCAAAUACACAAGGAGGUCAGGUGAGCACACAGGGAGACAGCAGCUGUCUACAGGCCAGGAAGCAAUCCUGCCCAAGAUCAGAAUCUGCCAGCACCUUGAUCUUGGACUUCUCAGCCUGCAGAGCUAUGAGAACAAGUGUAUGUUGUUCAAUCCACCCAGUCUGUGGUAUUCUAUUUUAGCAGCUAGAGUUGACCUAAAGCCUUUGUAAUUGCCUAUGGUCAGGCCUGAAAGCUCAGACAGGUUUUGGCCAGGAGCUGACCCCCUGCUCUUCCUGUUGGUUGUGAGAUGACUAUCAGCAGCUCUAGACUGACAGAAAUACCCAGUGGAAAGAGAGCGCUCUGUCUUAGCAGUUCCAGCAGAAACUCUGAGCCUGACUCUGGUGAGACUAACUUGGGUUCUAUACCCAUCCCAGAAGCAAAGACGGUGGCCAAGUGGAUGGAAAUAACAAAUUGAUUUGGAUCUGAACCUGGGGGUUAAGGGCAGGACUUUCCCAAACUACUUAAACUGAGAGUGAAGGGAGGACAUUUAUACCAGAAGUGGAAGCAGAUCCUAGGUAAGCAAAACCCAUAGACACCCACUCUACAGUGCCUGAAAGUGAAAGGAUUUCUUUCUUUAUCCAUUUAAUAAAUGUACACUGAACUAUGUGCCAGGCACUGCUUUAGGCCCUGGAAGACAGUAGCAAACAACAGCAUCAAGCUUAAAUUCUACUGGGGGUGAUAGAUAAUAAACACCAGCAGCAGGUGAUAUAAAGCCUCUUAGAUUAUGAUAAGGGCUGGGGGGGAGUGGGCGGUGAAAGCAAGAAAGGAAGGUAGGAGAUGUGCUUUUGAGGGAGGGGUACCCAAAAAGGCCUUGCUGAAGGCAGAUAGAAAUUGUGCAUCCCAGAGAAUAGGAAAAGUUCAAAGCAGAGGGAACAGCCAAGACAAAGCAUGCUCCCUGAGAUGGAAGCAUGCUAGUUGUGUUCAUAGUUGUAUACAGGUUGAAAAUGAAAUGCCCAGUUAAAUUUGAAUUUCAGAUAAACAAUACAUACAUCUUUUAGCCUAAGUACAUUCCCAAUACCAAAUGGGACAUAGUUAUGCUUAAAAAUAUUUUGUUUCAUGUAACAUUUGGAACAUAUUGACACUAAAAAUGUAUUUGCUGUUUAUCUGAAAUUCAAAUCUAGCUGGGAGUCCUGUAUUUUCAUUCGCUAAAUCUAACAUCUCUAGGCCAGUGUGACUGAAGCAGAAUGAAGAAGCAGGAGAGGGUGUUAUGGGUUGCAUUAUGUCCCCUCAAAGAAAAUAUUCUGAAGUCCUCACCCCCAAUACCCUAGAAUGUGACCUUAUUUGGUAAUAGGGUCAUUCCUGAUGUAAUUAGUUAAGAUGAGCCACACUGGAACAGGGUGGGGCCUGAUCCAAGAUGACUGCUGUCCUUAUUAGAGGGCCAUGUGACAACACAGAGUCACACAGGGAGAGGGCCAUGUGUUGACAGAGGCAGAGAUUAAAGAGCUGCAGCUGCAAGGCAACACAUGCUAAAAAUAGCCACAACCACCAGAAGCUAGAAAGAGGCAAGAAAGGAUCCUUCCCCUUCAUGGCCCUGCCGACACCUUGAUUUUGGACUUCUAGCUCUAAGAACCACGAAAAAAUAAGUUUCUGUUGUUUUAAGCCACCCAGUUUGUAGUGCUUUGUUACAGCUGCCCUGGCAAAGUGACAGAAGAGAGCAGCCAAAGACAAGGGCAGAGAGAAAAUCUUCUCAGACCACCCUGAGCCAGUAAGGAUCUGCUUCAUCUCCAGGUUCUGAUAAUGCUUAUGGCUGGUACCUCAAAAUCCAGUUCUCAAUUCAACAAACAUAUGCCAGGGCCAGGAAUGGCUUAUUGGAGGGGCUUAUUUACUAAGGGUCAAUACAAAUAAAACAUGGUUUCU
This is a non-coding RNA of Sus scrofa (pig), 3776 nucleotides long. The record is from RefSeq and is a predicted model, not a curated record. Lineage: Eukaryota; Metazoa; Chordata; Mammalia; Artiodactyla; Suidae.